Molecule: ribosomal RNA, 254 nt
Filed under: uncultured bacterium
Lineage: Bacteria
Description: partial 16S ribosomal RNA
Rfam family: Bacterial small subunit ribosomal RNA
Source: RNAcentral
CACGUAGGGGGCGAGCGUUGUCCGGAUUUAUUGGGCGUAAAGAGCUCGUAGGCGGCUUAGUAAGUCAGGUGUGAAACCUCCAGGCUCAACCUGGAGACGCCACCUGAUACUGCUGUGGCUAGAGUCCGGUAGGGGAGCAGGGAACUCCUGGUGUAGCGGUGAAAUGCGCAGAUAUCAGGAAGAACACCAGCGGCGAAGGCGCUGCUCUGGGCCGGAACUGACGCUGAGGAGCGAAAGCGUGGGGAGCAAACAGG